GACCUUCCAGAAAUGUGUCUGGAGAGUGUUUUGUAUUCUGACAGCUUCAGGUUCUGGAGGAAAUUCAAGCUUGCCAGAAGCUUCCAUUCCAAUCACAGAUGACUGUGUACCUGGUGAUUGGGAGACACUUGCUCCAACC
Molecule: small nucleolar RNA, 139 nt
Filed under: Sorex araneus (European shrew)
Lineage: Eukaryota; Metazoa; Chordata; Mammalia; Eulipotyphla; Soricidae
Source: RNAcentral